This 545-nucleotide ribosomal RNA is filed under the name Branchinella pinnata. Its description in RNAcentral is "SSU rRNA". It matches the Rfam family "Eukaryotic small subunit ribosomal RNA", at positions 44 to 661 of the family's 1831-position model. The record is from RNAcentral. Lineage: Eukaryota; Metazoa; Arthropoda; Branchiopoda; Anostraca; Thamnocephalidae.
UUAAGCCAUGCAUGUCUAAGUACAAGCCCCUCUGGGGCGAAACCGCGAAUGGCUCAAUAAAUCAGUUAUGGUUCCUUAGAUCGUACUAUCCUACUUGGAUAACUGUGGUAAUUCUAGAGCUAAUACAUGCACAAUAGCUUCUUUGUGCCGAUCGCAUGGUCUAGCACCGGCGACGCAUCUUUCAAAUGUCUGCCUUAUCAACUGUCGAUGGUAGGUUAUGCGCCUACCAUGGUUGCAACGGGUAACGGGGAAUCGGGGUUCGAUUCCGGAGAGGGAGCCUGAGAAACGGCUACCACAUCCAAGGAAGGCAGCAGGCGCGCAAAUUACCCACUCCCGGCACGGGGAGGUAGUGACGAAAAAUAACGAUGCAGGACUCAUCCGAGGCCCUGUGAUUGGAAUGAGUACACUUUAAAUCCUUUAACGAGGACCUAUUGGAGGGCAAGUCUGGUGCCAGCAGCCGCGGUAACUCCAGCUCCAAUAGCGUAUAUUAAAGUUGCUGCGGUUAAAAAGCUCGUAGUUGGAUAUCGGUCGCGAUCAGGCGGUGC